UGCCGGUUGGUAUAAUGGGCUAGCAUCUUGGUUUUGUAAUCCAAGGAUAUCGGUUCGAGUCCGGUACCGGCAUCA
Molecule: transfer RNA, 75 nt
Filed under: CrAss-like virus sp. ctelJ1
Lineage: Duplodnaviria; Heunggongvirae; Uroviricota; Caudoviricetes; Crassvirales
Description: tRNA-Thr
Rfam family: tRNA
About the family: Transfer RNA (tRNA) molecules are approximately 80 nucleotides in length. Their secondary structure includes four short double-helical elements and three loops (D, anti-codon, and T loops).
Source: RNAcentral